GAUGAGCGCUGGCGGCGUGCCUAAUACAUGCAAGUCGAGCGGUAACAGGGAGAGCUUGCUCUCUGCUGACGAGCGGCGGACGGCUGAGUAACACGUAGGAACGUACCCCAAAGUGAGGGAUAACUGCUCGAAAGAGUAGCUAAUACCGCAUGUGAUCCACGGAUUAAAGCUUUAUGCGCUUUGGGAACGGCCUGCGUCCGAUUAGCUAGUUGGUGAGGUAAUAGCUCACCAAGGCGAUGAUCGGUAGCUGGUCUGAGAGGAUGAUCAGCCAGACUGGGACUGAGACACGGCCCAGACUCCUACGGGAGGCAGCAGUAGGGAAUUUUCCACAAUGGGCGAAAGCCUGAUGGAGCAACGCCGCGUGCAGGAUGAAUGCCUUCGGGUUGUAAACUGCUUUUGUUAGUGAAGAUUAUGACGGUAGCUAACGAAUAAGGGUCUGCUAACUACGUGCCAGCCGCCGCCGUAA
This 466-nucleotide ribosomal RNA is filed under the name uncultured bacterium. RNAcentral's name for it is "partial 16S ribosomal RNA". It matches the Rfam family "Bacterial small subunit ribosomal RNA", at positions 28 to 523 of the family's 1533-position model. The record is from RNAcentral.